Molecule: long non-coding RNA, 1293 nt
Filed under: Sus scrofa (pig)
Lineage: Eukaryota; Metazoa; Chordata; Mammalia; Artiodactyla; Suidae
Description: lncRNA (ENSSSCG00005002327.1)
Source: RNAcentral
AGAUCCUGCGUUGCUGUGGCUGGGGUGUAGGCCGGCAGCUGUAGCUCCGAUGCGACCCCUGGCCUGGGAACUUCCAUAUGCCGCCGGCGUGGCCCUAAAAAGCAAAAGAAAAAAAGCAAAAUCUCUGGCAGGAUCUGGUGGGCCCUGUGCAGACUGUGGGAUCCAUCCCAAGAGCCCUGGAAUGCCGCUGGACACAAAAACAGAAGUAAAACUGAAAGAACCACCAAACUUCAAGUAAGCCUUUCUUCCUCGAGAGAUUAUCUCCUGAAAGAUCUCAUCCUGGUUAAACAAAGAGGCCACGGCAAAUGUGAAGAGGUCACAACUCUCUCACUUCCAGCCUGCAUCUCCCUCUCCUGUGCCAAGGUCGCUGAAUCAGAGCCGUCACUGAGGGCUACACCUGGCCCUGGGCUGGCUAUCCGCUGAUCUGUCUUCACCCCUGAAGUUAUCACCGCCUUUCCUUUUCAGAGAGGGAACAGGCCCAGGAGAGUCCAGGAGGCCACACAGCUACGUCUGCUUCCCUAUCUUCCAGACCAAGACCAACGGGCCCUGUGAACCCAAUGCCAAACCCCAGCUGUCACCCACCUCAGUGUCCUCCCUUCUCAAAAUCAACACCGAUGCACAUGUGACACCGUUUCCUGCGUGUUCAGCAGUCCACCGUGUGGGGCUCUGGGGCAAGGCUGAAACAUCCUCACCCAAGACGCCGCCUCUCCCCUCCCCCGACUCUGGAACAGCAGUAUUUCACCCAGUGGCCCAGGGGCCGGGCCCCUCCCACCUCAGUCCCUGCCUGGGUUCCCGCUGUACCUGGGUACGCAGCCUGUCUUCCCCAACCGUCUGCAAAUCUCCUUUGAAAGUAGGGAAGAAAGGUCACGCAAGAUGGAGGUAAGAGUACUUCCUGACAAGGGUAUUGAAGAGGAAUCAGGACGAGCUGCUUUGGAGGAACCUGGAUGAACCCAAAGACUAUCAUACCAAGUGAGCCAGAGAAGGGCAAAUACAUGAUGUCACUUCCAUGUGGAAUCCAAUCAAAAAUGAUACAAAGGGACUUACGGAUAAAACAACUCCCGAGGGGAAACCGUAGGGGGAGGGAUAUCCUGGGAGGAUGGGAUUAACACACACACACACGGCUAUACACAAAACAGACCAUGAAGGACCUUCGGGGCAUAGCGCAGGGAAAUCCGCCCAAUAUUCUGUAAUAACCUACAUGGGAAAAAAGAAUGGCUAUAUGUAUACCUGAUUCACUCUGCUGUACACCUGAAACUAAUACAAUAUUCUAAGUCAGCGAUACUCCAAUAAAAC